This 913-nucleotide ribosomal RNA is filed under the name uncultured bacterium. Its description in RNAcentral is "bacterial SSU rRNA". It matches the Rfam family "Bacterial small subunit ribosomal RNA", at positions 33 to 928 of the family's 1533-position model. The record is from RNAcentral.
ACGCUGGCGGCGUGCCUAAUACAUGCAAGUAGAACGCUGAAGAGAGGAGCUUGCUCUUCUUGGAUGAGUUGCGAACGGGUGAGUAACGCGUAGGUAACCUGCCUUGUAGCGGGGGAUAACUAUUGGAAACGAUAGCUAAUACCGCAUAACAAUGGAUGACACAUGUCAUUUAUUUGAAAGGGGCAAUUGCUCCACUACAAGAUGGACCUGCGUUGUAUUAGCUAGUAGGUGAAGUAACGGCUCACCUAGGCGACGAUACAUAGCCGACCUGAGAGGGUGAUCGGCCACACUGGGACUGAGACACGGCCCAGACUCCUACGGGAGGCAGCAGUAGGGAAUCUUCGGCAAUGGGGGCAACCCUGACCGAGCAACGCCGCGUGAGUGAAGAAGGUUUUCGGAUCGUAAAGCUCUGUUGUAAGUCAAGAACGAGUGUGAGAGUGGAAAGUUCACACUGUGACGGUAGCUUACCAGAAAGGGACGGCUAACUACGUGCCAGCAGCCGCGGUAAUACGUAGGUCCCGAGCGUUGUCCGGAUUUAUUGGGCGUAAAGCGAGCGCAGGCGGUUCGAUAAGUCUGAAGUUAAAGGCUGUGGCUCAACCAUAGUUCGCUUUGGAAACUGUCAAACUUGAGUGCAGAAGGGGAGAGUGGAAUUCCAUGUGUAGCGGUGAAAUGCGUAGAUAUAUGGAGGAACACCGGUGGCGAAAGCGGCUCUCUGGUCUGUAACUGACGCUGAGGCUCGAAAGCGUGGGGAGCGAACAGGAUUAGAUACCCUGGUAGUCCACGCCGUAAACGAUGAGUGCUAGGUGUUGGAUCCUUUCCGGGAUUCAGUGCCGCAGCUAACGCAUUAAGCACUCCGCCUGGGGAGUACGACCGCAAGGUUGAAACUCAAAGGAAUUGACGGGGGCCCGCACAA